This 604-nucleotide long non-coding RNA is filed under the name Brassica napus (rape). RNAcentral describes it as "long non-coding RNA (BNAP_LNC018171)". The record is from RNAcentral. Lineage: Eukaryota; Viridiplantae; Streptophyta; Magnoliopsida; Brassicales; Brassicaceae.
UUUGAGGUCAUCCAAGGUUAGAUCUAAAGUUAUGUUUGAUUUACUGAAGAGUAGUACGUCUGCCUCGCGAGAGAAACCAGUCGAGGAUUAGAAGGAGUGUCGAUUGACGACGCAUCCUUGGCGUCGAUCGACACUUAUGCCAGAAUAUAGGCGGAGCCUAUUUCGUGACUGAUUUAAGCCUAGAAGUCACCACAUAUUACCAGAAUUCCCCUGGACGACUUAAGACUCUAUUUUACUCUAAGCCAUUGUUGACGGCUAUGCUUCAAACUAUUCUAGAGAGAGAAAUAUUAAGAUUGGAGAGAGAGAUCCGAACACCUUUAGAGAGAGAAGAUCUUGAACUCUCUUUGUUUCUUUACUCUAUUAUUUAAUUAUUCUAAUGCAGUAUUAUUCAGACCAUCAUAAUGUUUACUAUGAAUAUGUCUGAGUUAUUCAGACCAUCAUAAUGUUUACUAUGAAUAUGUCUGAGUAGUUCUAUUGUUCUAUUUAGGGUUCUUCAAAGGUUGAUUUAUGGUUUGCUUAAUAUGUGUUGCUGUUAUGGUGAUUUAAUUAGUUUUUUAUCUAUUUGUUCUUAUUGCUUGGGUUAGGAUUGAUCAUCCCGAACUUA